Long non-coding RNA from Neocloeon triangulifer, 1876 nucleotides. RefSeq lists it as uncharacterized. Lineage: Eukaryota; Metazoa; Arthropoda; Insecta; Ephemeroptera; Baetidae. The record is from RefSeq and is a predicted model, not a curated record. The transcript is spliced from 3 exons.
ACUGGGAGGGGAGAGAAAAGACCUUUAAACCUGUAAACUCUCCUAAAAGAGACACAGUACAACAAGACUCUCAAGUACUAAGUGCUUUGAGUGCAUAGCUUAUAUGACUUACUUAUUAUGCAGCAUCAUAGCAUGCAGCAUCUCAGCAUACACCACAGACUGAAGUAGCUGUGGUAUAAACACACGCACACAUAGAUAAAAGCCAUAAGAGUUGGUAUGCUGCUUAUUGGGCUCCAAAUAAUCUACACCACGGAAAUAAUUUGCAGUCCAGAAGAAGGGUAAAAUGACCUUUCAAACCUUUUCCCGCAGCCGGGUUCAAAGUAUAACAAACCCGUCAGUAAACACGCAAGCGACAAAAGCGGGCUUUACUCUCACCAGUAAUUCUGCCGAGCUUAACGUGCCACCCUUUGACCGCGGAUCCCGCGUAGCCGGCGGUGUGAGCCCCCAACGAAUGGCCAAUGAUGUGUGUCUUUGGUGGCCGCAGUCCAACUUCUUCCUGAAAUAAAUGAAUAUUAUGAUAAUGAAGUAAAAUCAAUCAAUCAAUCACUUUUUUUUAGAAUAAUUCACGAUUUUUUUAUGACAAUAAGACUGAAUUUUCUUUUUUCUAUCAAUUAUUCUUAUCAUUUGAUUGGUGGUGUUACAAACUUUUACAGUUCACAAUCCGUUUGCUUCUGUACUUUUGCACUUUGUAAACCAAUGUGGAUUUUUUAUGCAUUGAAAGCUCUUCUCUAUUUAUAUCUUUCUCUAGAAUUAUAGAUAAAAGUAAUUCUUGGGAAACAGAAAAUAGACGUUGCUCUUGCUGCGUGACGCGAAAAUUAAUUAAAGACCAGCACGCGACUGCAAAUUUUGCCGAAGAAUUAAUUAAUUUCUGCAAUUUACCAUCAGCUUGAUAAUCAUGAUUGCGACAGCUCGACCCACGAGUCGAAUGUUAGCCACAGCCUGUGCGUACGGCGGUCCUGAGCCUCCAUUCCAGUCCACAGCAAUCACAUUUGCGUCGAUCUUCUUCAGAAGUUCAUCGCUCAAUUUCUGCAGAUUGAAAAAUUUACAUUAUUUGCGUUUGGAUUUAAAAUUAGUGUGCGUUAAAAAUUAAUUUCAAGAUGUCUCUAAAUAUUUUAUAUUAUUGACUCCAAAAUAAAUUAUCUUUUUAAUCAGACAAAAUAUAAUAACCAUCGGAUCAUAUUUAAAAAAAAAAACUCCCAUACCUUAAUCCAUGUUUUAUUUCCUGAUUCAAGGUAUCCAUGAACAAUAAAGAAAGUCUGUCGAUUGUCUUUAAUAAAAGAAUUGAAGAACGUCGAUGUGUCGUUGGCCCGAAGUGGCUGCAAUUAGAGAAAAAAACUUGAUUUAAGCAAGCUACAUCAAAAUCAAAUUAAUUAAAUUUAUUUUCUUUAAAAGAGCCGUGGUUUAAGCACUGGUAAUCGAAUGUUUUUAACAUUUAAAAAUUUGCAAUACCUGACACUUGUCUCUGUUAUAUUUCGUGAAGAGGCAGAAGUUUGGAUUUAUUUUAUAAGGAUGCUCUGGGAAUAAGUUGACAGGCCGAUUCUUUGGCCAUGGCGAAUCUAUUGAAAAGCAUCCAUAGCCAGACUGCUCAUAGCAUUCUGAAAAGAAAAUUAUUAAUUGAACAAAAUCUAGUAUAAUUGGUACAAUAUAAAUUUUUUAACUGUGCCGUCCUUUUAAACCAAAUUGACCCCCUGCAAAAUCUGAGCAGGACAGAAACUGAAUUCCAACUCUAUUGGAUUGCUCGAAAUAGCUGAAAAGCUCAAACAUCUGGCAUAAAAAAAAAAUUAUAAAUUGUUUUAAUUAUUUAUAAAAACAACUUAUUAAGGUUCCACACAAUACUUUUGAAAAAAAACCAAAGAAAAAAAUAAUUUUAUAGCCA